CAGGGGGGGUAAGCGUUGUUCGGAAUUACUGGGCGUAAAGGGUUCGUAGGUGGCUUGCUAAGUCUGACGUGAAAUCCCUCAGCUUAACUGGGGAACUGCGUCUGAUACUGGCGAGCUUGAGUGCAGGAGAGGAACGCGGAAUUCCAGGUGUAGCGGCGAAAUGCGUAGAUAUCUGGAGGAACACCGGUGGCGAAGGCGGCGUUCUGGACUGCAACUGACACUGAGGAACGAAAGCCAGGGGAGCAAACGGGAUUAGAUACCCCGGUAGUCCUGGCCCUAAACGAUGAAUGCUUGGUGUGGCGGGUAUCGAUCCCCGCUGUGCCGAAGUUAACGCGUUAAGCAUUCCGCCUGGGGAGUACGGUCGCAAGGCUG
Molecule: ribosomal RNA, 372 nt
Filed under: uncultured organism
Description: bacterial SSU rRNA
Rfam family: Bacterial small subunit ribosomal RNA
Source: RNAcentral